UGCCUUUGCAGAAGGAAGUAGGAUGCCA
RNAcentral lists this non-coding RNA (28 nucleotides) under Rattus norvegicus (Norway rat). Lineage: Eukaryota; Metazoa; Chordata; Mammalia; Rodentia; Muridae. The record is from RNAcentral.